This 492-nucleotide ribosomal RNA is filed under the name uncultured bacterium. RNAcentral describes it as "partial 16S ribosomal RNA". It matches the Rfam family "Bacterial small subunit ribosomal RNA", at positions 29 to 507 of the family's 1533-position model. The record is from RNAcentral.
AGUGAACGCUGGCGGUAGGCCUAACACAUGCAAGUCGAACGGCAGCACAGUAAGAGCUUGCUCUUACGGGUGGCGAGUGGCGGACGGGUGAGGAGUACAUCGGAAUCUACUUUUUCGUGGGGGAUAACGUAGGGAAACUUACGCUAAUACCGCAUACGACCUACGGGUGAAAGCAGGGGAUCUUCGGACCUUGCGCGAUUGAAUGAGCCGAUGUCGGAUUAGCUAGUUGGCGGGGUAAAGGCCCACCAAGGCGACGAUCCGUAGCUGGUCUGAGAGGAUGGUCAGCCACACUGGAACUGAGACACGGUCCAGACUCCUACGGGAGGCAGCAGUGGGGAAUAUUGGACAAUGGGCGCAAGCCUGAUCCAGCCAUACCGCGUGGGUGAAGAAGGCCUUCGGGUUGUAAAGCCCUUUUGUUGGGAAAGAAAAGCAGCAGGUUAAUACCCCGCUGUUCUGACGGUACCCAAAGAAUAAGCACCGGCUAACUUCGUG